CAGUCGCCACGGUAAUACGUAGGUGGCGAGCGUUGUCCGGAAUCAUUGGGCGUAAAGGGAGCGCAGGCGGGCAUAUAAGUCUUUCUUAAAAGUGCGGGGCUCAACCCCGUGAUGGGAAAGAAACUAUAUGUCUUGAGUACAGGAGAGGAAAGCGGAAUUCCCAGUGUAGCGGUGAAAUGCGUAGAUAUUGGGAGGAACACCAGUGGCGAAGGCGGCUUUCUGGACUGCAACUGACGCUGAGGCUCGAAAGCCAGGGGAGCGAACGGGAUUAGAUACCCCAGUAGUCCCUGUCUCUUAUACA
This 301-nucleotide ribosomal RNA is filed under the name uncultured bacterium. Its description in RNAcentral is "partial 16S ribosomal RNA". It matches the Rfam family "Bacterial small subunit ribosomal RNA", at positions 509 to 809 of the family's 1533-position model. The record is from RNAcentral.